AGCCACUGUGACCGGACCAAAACUUUUCAAAUAUAGUAUUCAACUUGGCAUUAUUAUUAAUCUUAGGUUCUAUACCUUGGGAACAAUAUGAAUUGCAAUAUGAGAUACAUAUUUGGGUAAUGAUAGAGCAAUGAUUAUUAUGGCAGGGAACCUCUGAUUUAAGAGAAACAUUGAGCAGUCUGAGUUAAAAGACAAAGAAGUGGGGUCCUGAGCCAAGCUUUACCAAACAUUACUGACCAUAGACAAUUCACAUUCCCUGUCUAGGUUCCAGUUUUUCUAUAAUUUGAAGAUGUCGAAUUAGUGAUCUUUAAAGUUAUUUCAGUUAUAGCAUUAUACAAAUGAAAAUAAAAUAAAAAGCUUAGAUUCAAAGCACAUGUGGUAUCCCAAUGAAUUGAUUUCUGAUAAAACCCACUUGAGUUAAAAAAAAAAAUGUGAUUUUAUAGCAGCCUGUGUGCAGGGGGCAAACAAUUUUUAAACCAGAAGAUAAAUAGAAGGAGUGAUUGUAAGAGAUUAUUAAGAAAACUGAAAAGAAUAUAUUUGGCAUUCAUGAGGAAAGUGAACACUGCCUCUCAAAUUAUUUUUGCUUGAGAGGAGAGUGGCCUUUGGCUUCUCACCUGUGUUUUGGUUGGCUUUAAAAACUUGGAUUUAAGUCCCACCAAAGUUGAAUAUAAAAUGUAUAGAAAAUUCCACUGCUCAAAAAAAAAAAAAAGAACACUCCUUCCACAAAUUGCCAUUAUGUAUGAUAGUUUGCCAUUUGAGACAAUCAUUGAAUAUUCUUAGUUGCAAACAACAAAAUUCACUCCAAUAGUUUUAGUAGGAAGUGAUUUAUUUGAAGUCUAUUGGCAGCACCAGAAAACCUGUAUAGACCAAGGGGACCAGGCUUAAAUCCUAAAUAUCUAGGAAAAAUAUGCCUUUGGGAACAGCUGUCCAGGAGCGAUGCCAAGGGAAUGCUGUAGCAAAAUAGCAUUUUCAUCAGUUGAUGUUUGCAGCUGAUUAUGCUCAGAACUUUAUGGUUAGGUAUUGCCCCCCUUGUGGAUUUUAGUAUUUUUCAAUGAUUCUGGCAGAUUAGACACAGUCCAUAUUGUCCUCACCAUAGCGAGGUGAAAUCCAUGUUGUUGAGCUUAUAGUUAACUUACCUUCCUGACUAUAUUCAGGAGCCCUUUGAGCAAAUACUAAAGUACUUGAAGAAAGAGACUACGACUACAAUACAAUUUUCACAUUUUUGUAACUCUACUACAGAGGAGUCCUUUUUGGUGAGUAUUCACAUAAGAUAUAAAUAUUCUCACCUUUGGCUCAUAUCUCUUUAUCAGUCUUCUUUGUCAAUAAUUAUCCAAUUUCAUUCCUUCCAUGUGACUGCCCAUUGGGUGAAAACUUUAGCCAUUGCCAAUUAACUGGUAGAUGUCUACAUCUGACCCUAUCACUGGAUGUACUGUAGUUUGUUUAAACAUUAAUGCAUUGAAGGACAUUUGUGUUGCUUCCAUUUUUUGGCU
This 1490-nucleotide long non-coding RNA is filed under the name Homo sapiens (human). RNAcentral describes it as "HSALNT0066412". The record is from RNAcentral. Lineage: Eukaryota; Metazoa; Chordata; Mammalia; Primates; Hominidae.